GGGCAUGGCGGCAGCUACACAUGCAGUCGAGCGGUAGCACAGAGAGCUUGCUCUCGGGUGACGAGCGGCGGACGGGUGAGUAAUGUCUGGGAAACUGCCUGAUGGAGGGGGAUAACUACUGGAAACGGUAGCUAAUACCGCAUAAUGUCGCAAGACCAAAGUGGGGGACCUUCGGGCCUCAUGCCAUCAGAUGUGCCCAGAUGGGAUUAGCUAGUAGGUGGGGUAACGGCUCACCUAGGCGACGAUCCCUAGCUGGUCUGAGAGGAUGACCAGCCACACUGGAACUGAGACACGGUCCAGACUCCUACGGGAGGCAGCAGUGGGGAAUAUUGCACAAUGGGCGCAAGCCUGAUGCAGCCAUGCCGCGUGUGUGAAGAAGGCCUUCGGGUUGUAAAGCACUUUCAGCGGGGAGGAAGGCGGUAAGGUUAAUAACCUUGUCGAUUGACGUUACCCGCAGAAGAAGCACCGGCUAACUCCGUGCCAGCAGCCGCGGUAAUACGGAGGGUGCAAGCGUUAAUCGGAAUUACUGGGCGUAAAGCGCACGCAGGCGGUCUGUCAAGUCGGAUGUGAAAUCCCCGGGCUCAACCUGGGAACUGCAUUCGAAACUGGCAGGCUAGAGUCUUGUAGAGGGGGGUAGAAUUCCAGGUGUAGCGGUGAAAUGCGUAGAGAUCUGGAGGAAUACCGGUGGCGAAGGCGGCCCCCUGGACAAAGACUGACGCUCAGGUGCGAAAGCGUGGGGAGCAAACAGGAUUAGAUACCCUGGUAGUCCACGCCGUAAACGAUGUCGAUUUGGAGGUUGUGCCCUUGAGGCGUGGCUUCCGGAGCUAACGCGUUAAAUCGACCGCCUGGGGAGUACGGCCGCAAGGUUAAAACUCAAAUGAAUUGACGGGGGCCCGCACAAGCGGUGGAGCAUGUGGUUUAAUUCGAUGCAACGCGAAGAACCUUACCUGGUCUUGACAUCCACAGAACUUUCCAGAGAUGGAUUGGUGCCUUCGGGAACUGUGAGACAGGUGCUGCAUGGCUGUCGUCAGCUCGUGUUGUGAAAUGUUGGGUUAAGUCCCGCAACGAGCGCAACCCUUAUCCUUUGUUGCCAGCGGUUAGGCCGGGAACUCAAAGGAGACUGCCAGUGAUAAACUGGAGGAAGGUGGGGAUGACGUCAAGUCAUCAUGGCCCUUACGACCAGGGCUACACACGUGCUACAAUGGCAUAUACAAAGAGAAGCGACCUCGCGAGAGCAAGCGGACCUCAUAAAGUAUGUCGUAGUCCGGAUUGGAGUCUGCAACUCGACUCCAUGAAGUCGGAAUCGCUAGUAAUCGUAGAUCAGAAUGCUACGGUGAAUACGUUCCCGGGCCUUGUACACACCGCCCGUCACACCAUGGGAGUGGGUUGCAAAAGAAGUAGGUAGCUUAACCUUCGGGAGGGCGCUACCACUUUGUAUCAUGGC
Molecule: ribosomal RNA, 1444 nt
Filed under: Klebsiella pneumoniae
Lineage: Bacteria; Pseudomonadati; Pseudomonadota; Gammaproteobacteria; Enterobacterales; Enterobacteriaceae
Description: bacterial SSU rRNA
Rfam family: Bacterial small subunit ribosomal RNA
Source: RNAcentral